This is a long non-coding RNA of Homo sapiens (human), 624 nucleotides long. RefSeq lists it as uncharacterized. The record is from RefSeq and is a predicted model, not a curated record. The transcript has 5 exons. NCBI's taxonomy places the organism in Eukaryota, Metazoa, Chordata, Mammalia, Primates, Hominidae.
UGGAAGUGCCUUUUAGACCACAUAUAAGAUUCCUGUUUUUCCCCCACUGCCCUCUGCUUCUCUACAUGCUAAUGUUACAAGAACAUUCAUAAGGAAAUGCUUCAAAAAGCUGUUGCCUAAAUAUUAUGCAAGAGAUAAUCCAGUCCAGAAGCAGGUGUUAAUAGAAAGAGCUCAGAGAAACUGUUGGUGCUAUCCAACAAGCAAACACGCAUCAAGACAAGCAAAGAAAUACAGACAGAACUUUAAAAUGAAGACAUUCUAAGAUCUCACUUUUAACUGAUAACCUGGAGGCAACGUUUACCAAGAUGGAUGGGCACAUAUCUAGGAACUGUCAAAAUCCAGGAAUGCUGGAAGAAGUAUGCAUUUGAGGACACUUAAGAAAUCAACUAUGAGUUUGAAACCAAGUUACAAAAGGAGAGAGCAACCACAUUUUUCAAAGAGAUUUUCUUUUGUCAUGGCCCAAUUCGAUCUUCACAGCGGACAACAUACAGCCGGAUAUCGUGCUUUGUACAAAUUGAAGUUUUGCAUCAACCCUGCUUCAAGCAAGUCUAUUGGCACCAUUUUCCCAACAGCGUGUGUUCAUUUUGUGUCACUGUGUCAUAUUUUGGUAAUUCUCAUAACAUU